GUUUUAGUAGCUUAAACUAUUUAAAGCCCUGGUUUUGUAAGCCAGAAAUGAGAUAUUAUCCUCCUAAAACA
RNAcentral lists this transfer RNA (71 nucleotides) under Acanthodactylus erythrurus. RNAcentral describes it as "tRNA-Thr". It matches the Rfam family "tRNA". From Rfam's summary of the family: Transfer RNA (tRNA) molecules are approximately 80 nucleotides in length. Lineage: Eukaryota; Metazoa; Chordata; Lepidosauria; Squamata; Lacertidae. The record is from RNAcentral.